Molecule: ribosomal RNA, 253 nt
Filed under: uncultured bacterium
Lineage: Bacteria
Description: partial 16S ribosomal RNA
Rfam family: Bacterial small subunit ribosomal RNA
Source: RNAcentral
UACGUAGGGGGCGAGCGUUGUCCGGAGUUACUGGGCGUAAAGCGCACGCAGGCGGUCUGCUAAGUUUGGAGUGACAGUUGGUGGCUUAACUGCCAAAGUGCUUCGAAAACUGACAGACUUGAGGGCUUCAGAGGGACACGGAAUUCCGGGUGGAGUAGUGAAAUGCGUAGAGAUCCGGAGGAACACCAAAGGCGAAGGCAGUGUCCUGGGGAGUACCUGACGCUCAGGUGCGAAAGCCAGGGGAGCGAACGGG